UCCUCCCAGCUUGUGGACGGACGCCGUCUUGCUGUGUGCUCCUGUGACCUCUUUGUGAAUGGGGAGAGCUGGGGGGCCGCGGCGGGGAAGAGAGUUACUCUCUCGUAUCUCUUCUUAUAGGGACACUAAUCCUGUUGGUUCAGGGCCACUACCUAUAGGACCUCAUUUAACCUUAAUUACCUCCUUAUAGGUCCUAUCUCCAAACACAGUCACAUUGGGGGGUUAAGGCUUUCCACAUAGGAAUUUUGGAAGGACACAAUUUGGUCUGCAGUGCUUGCCAAGUUGCCUCUUACUCUGCUGUCUGAAAACAAUAAUAACAAAGAAUAAUAUGUUUGAAGGUACUUCCAAAAGUAGGAAGCGCUGUCCCCACGUGAAGGGGUCAUUUUAAUUUAUUCAGCUCAUGUUACUUGGAGUCAAAUAGUGGUGUUAAAAGAGACCAUAGAGGACAUAGAAGGAGAGAGUCAUCUUCCCGAAGUUUACAUUUGUUUCCUCUAUUUUUUUCCGGGAUGGUUUUCUAAAGAAUUUUCUGUGAGGCAACUUCUUGCCAUUUGGAGCUAUUACAUUCUCUUACUGCUCCCUUUCUCUUGCAGGGUAAAAGUUAAGACUAUUUCUAAGUUCAAUUCAGUGAUUCCAUGUACCUUAUGGGAUACAUUGGUGUUCAGUCACUGGGGAAAACGUUAAAGUGGUAAAAGUUAUUAUGAAAGUAUUGUAUUCUAAGCAAAUAGGGUGUCGCUUCUAUAAUUCACUGUGACUUUUGAUUCCUGUUGUUACCUGGUACCUGUCAUUCCUCCUGAGCUUCCCAUUCAGGAAUGCGUGCAAACCAUUUAGCACCACGCAGAGCCAGAGAGAUGGAAUGCUGUAUUCACUUUGAAUAGCUAUUAAGAAAACCGCCGAGUAUUCAAUGAAGGGAUGGGUACUGGUUAGACCGAGCAGUUUGUAGUCUGUCCUCGAUGCAUGAAACAUUUCAUGUGUGUGUGUUGAAAGGACAGAUGGCUACUCACGGGGUCUGCAGCCUUUCACCAUUGGGCCUGCAUCUACUUUUACAUUUCUGAAAGUCACAGAAAGCCUGCAUUUUUUCCCCAUCAUUAGGCUUGACCUCUGCUGCCCUCGUUGCCUCUCAGCAGGUGGCUGCCCAGGCAUCUGCAUCAGGAAUGUUUCCUGCACAAAGAAGAGAAUAACAAGAUUGGAAAUGUACGUUGUCAUGUGACUGGAUCACAUGGGGAAGCGCUUUAUACAGACAUCAGUUCCAUGGUGUUAAUUUGAAAUGCCUUAAUGGCAGGCAAAAACCAGUCAUUUCAUUUUUGUAAAUUACAGAUUUUAUCAGAGAGUAACAAAUGUUGCUGUAAUUAAACUUCUGUUUUAUAUAUAUAUAUAUAUAUAUAUAUACGUAUACAUAUAUGUAUAUACACACACACGCACACGCACGCACACGCACGCGCGCACACACACACACACACACACACACACACACACAUAUAUAUUCUAUACUUUUUGUAUCAGUAACCAGGCUCGCACACACAGGGUCUGCUGCCGGGUCGCAAACUGCUCAGUAAAGGAGAUAAAAGAUGUGCUUGUCAAACUGAGAAGUGUUAGCCACGGAAGGCUGCUUACUUUCUUUUCCUUUUGCUUUUCAAUUGUAAAUAAAUAAUGUUAUGUAUCA
Lagenorhynchus albirostris (white-beaked dolphin) is the source of this 1660-nucleotide long non-coding RNA. RefSeq lists it as uncharacterized. Lineage: Eukaryota; Metazoa; Chordata; Mammalia; Artiodactyla; Delphinidae. The record is from RefSeq and is a predicted model, not a curated record. The transcript is spliced from 2 exons.